RNAcentral lists this unclassified non-coding RNA (436 nucleotides) under Hevea brasiliensis (rubber tree). Lineage: Eukaryota; Viridiplantae; Streptophyta; Magnoliopsida; Malpighiales; Euphorbiaceae. The record is from RNAcentral.
GAUCAGGUGCAUGAACUAACAAAGAAUGUGAAAACAGGUUCUUGGACCAAGUGAGUGUAAGAUAAACAGGUGAACCACAAAUCUGAGCUUGGUAAAUACAUGUAACAAGAUUUUGAGGCACUUGUGAAGGAGGAGGAGAUGCAGAAGUUGUUUCUGAAUCCUCAGAAUUAUGAGGAAUAUUAAAACAAGCAGGUAUCAUAUUCUUCAUCCUAAACACAACACUAGUACUAAAUGUUGGAAUCAAGAGUUGGAGGAUUUUGGUUUAAUGAAGUUAGCCAUAUUAAUGUUUUGUAUUAUAUGAGGUGGGGUUUUAUGUUAGAGCUUGAUUGGCGCCAUGGAAAGAGAUAGAAAGCUAUAUAGAUAGAUUUUUGUUCUCUUAUUCAUGAUGAGUAUAUAUAUGUAUGUGAGCUGGGAGGCAUUAGCAAACUUCAAGACU